Pelobates cultripes (western spadefoot toad) is the source of this 204-nucleotide non-coding RNA. NCBI's taxonomy places the organism in Eukaryota, Metazoa, Chordata, Amphibia, Anura, Pelobatidae. The record is from the annotation of a GenBank genome assembly.
AUUGUUAUUGUUUACUGUAAGCGUGCUCAUGUUGUUUUCGUUAACCCCUUAAGGACACAGCUUCAAAAACUGGACUUACCCUUAAAGGAACACUAUAGUCACCUAAACUACUUGAGCUAAAUAAAGCAGUUUUAGUGUAUAGAUCAUUCCCCUGCAAUUUCACUGCUCAAUUCACUGUCAUUUAGGAGUUAAAUCACUUUGUUU